AUGCCGGCCAUGGUGGAGAAGGGCCCCGAGGUGUCGGGCAAGCGCCGCGGGAGGAACAACGCGGCCGGCGCCGCCGCCGCCGCCGCCUCCGCCUCGGCCGCCCCCGCCGCGGCCGCCGCCUCCGCCGCCGCCGCCCCCGCCGCCCCGGGCCCCGCCGCCUCGGCCGCCGCCGCCGCCGCCGCCGCCCCCGGCCAUGGGCACGGCAAAAGUUUGGCGGCCGCGGCCAACGGCGGCGGCGGCGCGUGGGAGGAGGGCAGCUCGGGCUCGUCGAGCGACGAGGAGCACGGUGGCGGCGGCAUGCGCGUCGGACCCCAGUACCAGGCGGCCGUGCCCGACUUCGACCCCGCAAAACUAACAAGACGUAGUCAAGAAAGAGACAAUCUUGGCAUGCUGGUGUGGUCUCCCAAUCAGAAUCUGUCUGAAGCAAAAUUGGAUGAAUACAUCGCCAUUGCAAAGGAGAAGCACGGAUACAACAUGGAACAGGCUCUCGGGAUGCUCUUUUGGCAUAAGCAUAAUAUCGAGAAAUCAUUGGCUGAUUUGCCCAACUUCACCCCCUUCCCAGAUGAAUGGACUGUGGAAGAUAAAGUCUUGUUUGAACAAGCCUUCAGUUUUCAUGGGAAAACUUUCCAUAGAAUUCAACAGAUGCUCCCUGAUAAAUCAAUAGCAAGUCUGGUGAAGUUUUACUACUCUUGGAAGAAGACGAGAACUAAAACCAGUGUGAUGGACCGCCAUGCUCGGAAACAGAAGCGGGAACGGGAGGAAAGUGAGGAUGAACUGGAAGAAACAAAUGGAAAUAACCCCAUUGACAUUGAGAUUGACCAAAACAAGGAAAGCAAAAAGGAGGUGCCCCCUUCAGAGACAGUUCCUCAGAUCAAGAAAGAGAAACAUAGCACACAAGCUAAGAACAGAGCCAAACGGAAACCUCCAAAAGGCAUGUUUCUUUCGCAAGAAGACGUGGAAGCAGUUUCUGCCAAUGCCACUGCUGCUGCCACCGUGCUCAGACAGCUGGACAUGGAGCUGGUGUCUAUUAAGCGGCAGAUUCAGAAUAUUAAACAGACAAAUAGUGCUCUCAAAGAAAAGCUUGACGGUGGGAUAGAACCCUUUCGGCUUCCAGAGGUCAUUCAGAAAUGCAACGCACGCUGGACCACGGAGGAGCAGCUGCUCGCUGUCCAAGCCAUCAGGAAGUAUGGCCGAGAUUUUCAGGCCAUUUCAGAUGUGAUUGGGAACAAGUCAGUGGUACAAGUUAAAAACUUUUUUGUAAAUUAUCGGCGUCGCUUCAACAUAGAUGAAGUGUUACAGGAGUGGGAGGCAGAACACGGGAAAGAAGAGACCAAUGGGCCUAGUAACCAGAACUCUGCCAAGUCCCCAGAUCGUUCCCUCAAGAUACCUGAAGAGGAAGAUGAGGCUGCUUCUGUUCUUGACGUCAGAUACGCGUCUGCCUCCUGAGGACUGUAGCUUUGAGCAUUUGAUGUGGAUGCCUGUGUUCCCUGGUAUCAGGUAUUCCCAGACGCCACCUCACCAUCUGCAUCCCAGCUCUGUGGACAAGCAGCUAUUACCAAAAACAGCCACACUUCGUCCUGUGCUCUACAUCUGCCUUAAUCUCUGUUCGUCCCUGCUUGCCGGCGCCACCUCCCAGGGAGCUCCAUUGCCUCUUCCUCUCUGCUCUUUGCGGGGCAAUUUUCUGUGAUUCUAGGACCAUCUCCGGGUGGAGCUCCCAAGCUACCGCGUUGGCAGCAUUUCCCCAUCAGCAGCUUUGAAACAGGCAGCUUAUUCACAGCAACUCUCGUGGACCCUGCAGCUCAGAGGGACCGUGGGCCUCACCCCUUUCUGCCUUCAGCUCAGCCUCAUGAUCCCUGGAUGGUGCCAGCCCGUCUGCUCCCGCCCCUCACCUCCUCCCAGCUCCAGGAGAUCUGCUCCCAUUCUGCACCUGGUGCUCGGACAUUUGGAAUCGGUGCCUUUUCCUAUAGGCAGCCAUGUUUGCGAUCCUUGGUCUGUUUUUGUGUCUUACUUCUUCCUUUAAGCUAUUGCUUGCCAAAGAUGACAACACCGAGGUUAGGGGCAGAGGGGACACCUGUGGAUUGUGGCAAAGGACAGGCAGGUCUUCUGUGGAGGGGAUCAGACUGGCUGUGGGGGUGGUUUUCUCGAAGCUGCACACUUUGCCCCUUGCUUUUCUGAAGGCCUCUCCACACUCCCUGCAUGUCCUCCUCACCCCUCAGCCAUGCCAGCCUCUGCUCCGUGUAAUGUUCCUGUUCAGGGCUGGACAGGAAGUGAUUGUUGUCGUGGUUCAGAAAGGCCAGAUGAAAAGGAACAGUUGAAAAAGGGUUUGUUAUGUCUUUGGGUUACACUGGGAACAAGCAGAAGUUUCGAGUGCUCUGAGGAAACAGCAGGGUCACUUUCAUUCUGUGGUGGAUCCCACCUGCUGCUGGGUGGAGGAGCUCAGCGGCCUUGUGCACUCACCACCUGACAUGCUCACGUGGUUUUUGUGUUUCUUGCCUGACUUUGAGAUUUGUCCUGCUUUCAAUACCAAAAAGAAAUUAAAUAAAAAUGUAGAUACUUUAAGGUACAAACAGAAUUCUUAAGGAUUUAAAAUAUGCAAUUAAAAUGUUGGUGUGUUUUAACCCCCAAGCACCUUGCUUGCUCUUUUCUUUUUUUUAAAUAAAGACUGGUUUUAGGAAGGGGGACUAGGAACCUAGGUUGUUUGGAGUUGUGCUUUUUCUUUUUUUAUU
Suncus etruscus (white-toothed pygmy shrew) is the source of this 2726-nucleotide RNA transcript. It is a transcript of the gene named REST corepressor 1, with no coding region annotated. The record is from RefSeq and is a predicted model, not a curated record. NCBI's taxonomy places the organism in Eukaryota, Metazoa, Chordata, Mammalia, Eulipotyphla, Soricidae. The transcript has 13 exons.